RNAcentral lists this ribosomal RNA (428 nucleotides) under Verrucomicrobiota bacterium. RNAcentral describes it as "Verrucomicrobia bacterium partial 16S ribosomal RNA". It matches the Rfam family "Bacterial small subunit ribosomal RNA", at positions 355 to 776 of the family's 1533-position model. Lineage: Bacteria; Pseudomonadati; Verrucomicrobiota. The record is from RNAcentral.
UGGGGAAUCUUCCGCAAUGGACGAAAGUCUGACGGAGCAACGCCGCGCGAGUGAAGACGGCCUUCGGGUUGUAAAGCUCUGUGAUUCGGGACGAAAGGCCAUAUGUGAAUAAUAUAUGGAAAUGACGGUACCGAAAAAGCAAGCCACGGCUAACUACGUGCCAGCAGCCGCGGUAAUACGUAGGUCCCGAGCGUUGUCCGGAUUUAUUGGGCGUAAAGCGAGCGCAGGCGGUUAGAAAAGUCUGAAGUGAAAGGCAGUGGCUCAACCAUUGUAGGCUUUGGAAACUGUUUAACUUGAGUGCAGAAGGGGAGAGUGGAAUUCCAUGUGUAGCGGUGAAAUGCGUAGAUAUAUGGAGGAACACCGGUGGCGAAAGCGGCUCUCUGGUCUGUAACUGACGCUGAGGCUCGAAAGCGUGGGGAGCGAACAGG